UAAAUUGAUUUUAGCUUAAAACUUACUUAUCUAUUUCAGUUUCUAUUAGAAUUAUUAUUAGACUCAUUAAAAUAAAAGCACUAAUAUAACUAAUAAUAUAUGUUAAAUUCAUUAACUCUACAUAAAGUUUUAUAAUCUAAAUGAAAUACAAUAAUCUGCAUAAAAUUCAAUAGCUUAUAUAAAAUUUAAUAAUUUAUAUAAACAUUAUCAAUCUAUAUAAAAUUUAGUAAUUUAUAUAAAUAUUAUCAACCUAUAUAAAAUUUAAUAACUUAUAUAAAUAUUAUCAACCUAUAUAAAAUUUAGUAAUUUAUAUAAAUAUUAUCAACCUAUAUAAAAUUUAAUAACUUAUAUAAAUAUUAUCAAUCUAUAUAAAAUUUAAUAAUUUAUAUAAAUAUUAUCAAUCUAUAUAAAAUUUAAUAAUUUAUAUAAAUAUUAUCAAUCUAUAUAAAAUUUAAUAACUUAUAUAAAUUUAACUAAUUUAUAUAA
RNAcentral lists this unclassified non-coding RNA (486 nucleotides) under Clostridioides difficile. RNAcentral describes it as "RNAIII". Lineage: Bacteria; Bacillati; Bacillota; Clostridia; Peptostreptococcales; Peptostreptococcaceae. The record is from RNAcentral.